Molecule: ribosomal RNA, 1299 nt
Filed under: Sininocellia gigantos
Lineage: Eukaryota; Metazoa; Arthropoda; Insecta; Raphidioptera; Inocelliidae
Description: 16S ribosomal RNA
Source: RNAcentral
AAGAAAGUUUUUAUAUAAAGGAAUGAUUUUAAUUUUAAUUUUAAUUAAAAUAUUAUUAAGAAUUAAGGUUUUAGUAUAAUAAAGAAAAAAUAAUUAAUAUUAUAAUUUAUUAGUAAUGUAAAUGAAUUAAUAUAUUUAAGAAGAAAGAAUUUUUUAAUUAAAGUACCUUUUGUAUCAGGGUUUAUUAAAUUAAUAUUUAUUAUUUAAAGGAUCUCGAAUUUAAAAGAUUUAAUUUAUUAUUUUUUAUAUUGUAGAAUAAAUAUUUAUAAUAAUUAAUUGGUAAUAAAAUGUUAUUCGUUUUUAAAUAUAUCUAGUUUUUUCAGAAAAAAAUUUAAUUUUGUUAUAAAUUAUUAUUUAUAUUUUUAUUAUAAUAUAAAUAUAAAUUUAUAGAAAUAUUUUUAGGGAUAAGCUUAAAAAUAUAUAUUAUAUUUAUUUAAAUAUAAAUAGAAUAAUUUUAUGAAUAAUAAUUUCAAUAAAAAUAAAAGUUUUAUAAUUUAUAUUAUUUUAUUAUAAUUUUUAUAAAAUUAAUUAAUUAAUGAAAAAUUUUAAUAUAAUUAUUUAUUAAAUAUAUAAUGAUAAAAUUAGUAUAUUAUUAUAAAUUAAAUUAAUUUAUUUUUUUUUGUAAAUUAAAGUUAAGGAAUUCAGCAAAAUAAUUGUUCGCCUGUUUAUCAAAAACAUGGUUUUUUGUUUAUAAUUUAAGAUUUAAUCUGCCCACUGAAUUAGAUUUAAAGGGCCGCAGUAUCUUGACUGUGCAAAGGUAGCAUAAUCAUUUGUCUCUUAAUUGUUGACUUGUAUGAAUGAUUGGACGAGAUAAUUACUGUCUCUAUUUUAUUUUAAAUAAAAUUUUAUUUUUAAGUUAAAAAGCUUAAAUAAAUUUUAAGGACGAGAAGACCCUAUAGAGUUUAAUUAAUGAUAUAAAAAUUUAUAUUUUUGUAAAUAAUUUAUUUUUAUUUAUAUUAAUUUAGUUGGGGUGAUUUAAAAAUUUAUUAAACUUUUUAAAAUUUAAAUCAAUAAAUUUUGUUUAUUUUGAUCCAGAAAUUUUGAUUAAAUGAAUAAAUUACCUUAGGGAUAACAGCGUUAUUAUUUUGGAAAGUUCAUAUUUAUAAAAUAGUUUGCGACCUCGAUGUUGAAUUAAGAAAAAUUUUUGGAGCAGUAUUUAAAAUUUUUAGUCUGUUCGACUAUUAAAUUCUUACAUGAUUUGAGUUCAAACCGGUGUAAGCCAGGUUGGUUUCUAUCCUAAAUUAUAUAAAAUAUUUUAGUACGAAAGGACCAUAUAUUUAAUUAAAAAUUUAAUUUAAG